Molecule: transfer RNA, 72 nt
Organism: Camelus ferus (Wild Bactrian camel)
Lineage: Eukaryota; Metazoa; Chordata; Mammalia; Artiodactyla; Camelidae
Rfam family: tRNA
About the family: Transfer RNA (tRNA) molecules are approximately 80 nucleotides in length. Their secondary structure includes four short double-helical elements and three loops (D, anti-codon, and T loops).
Source: Rfam
GAAGGUAUAGCUCAGUGGUUGAGUGUGUACUUAGCAUGCACGGGGUCAUGGGUUCAAUCCCCAGUACCUGCA